UACGAAGGGGGCUAGCGUUGCUCGGAAUCACUGGGCGUAAAGCGCACGUAGGCGGCUUUUUAAGUCAGGGGUGAAAUCCUGGAGCUCAACUCCAGAACUGCCUUUGAUACUGAGAAGCUUGAGUCCGGGAGAGGUGAGUGGAACUGCGAGUGUAGAGGUGAAAUUCGUAGAUAUUCGCAAGAACACCAGUGGCGAAGGCGGCUCUCUGGUACGUGACUGACGCUGAGACGCGAAAGCGUGGGGAGCAAACAGG
RNAcentral lists this ribosomal RNA (253 nucleotides) under uncultured bacterium. RNAcentral describes it as "partial 16S ribosomal RNA". It matches the Rfam family "Bacterial small subunit ribosomal RNA", at positions 524 to 776 of the family's 1533-position model. The record is from RNAcentral.